Molecule: ribosomal RNA, 528 nt
Filed under: Triticum aestivum (bread wheat)
Lineage: Eukaryota; Viridiplantae; Streptophyta; Magnoliopsida; Poales; Poaceae
Description: partial small subunit ribosomal RNA
Source: RNAcentral
AUGCUCGCCAAGCAAUUACCAAUAUGUCCUAAAGCCAUAAUUUGUUUGAUCCACAUCAACCCGCUGAACCAGUCAAUUCUCCAGAUCAACGUGGAUGGAAGUAUGAAGGAAAAUCCUACCCAUGGUGGAUGGGGUUUCAUGAUCAGAGACCAUGCCGGUCGGCCAGUUGGUGCUGGCGCUGGACAUAUGCAAUAUGUCAGUGACCCCCUCUAUGCUGAAGCUACAGCGUGCCUCCAAAGCUUGUAUGCAGCUCAAGGCUGGGGAAUGUCAAGAGUACAUGUGUUGUCAGAUUCCAAGACCCUAGUACAAGCGGCUACCUCCAAUGAUCAUGAUUUGUCAACAAACGGGAAUCUUUUCAAGGAAAUUAGAUGUUUUGCAAGUUUAAAUUUCACCCAUGUGGGGUUCUCUUACUGCCCCAGAGCGUGUAAUAAGGUUGCUGACGCUUUAGCACAUUUGGUGCAGACUCAAGGCUUGUAUCCCCAGCUAUGUGGCCGGAACAAGCUCCUGAUUUCGUGUAUGGUCUUGUAG